This 507-nucleotide ribosomal RNA is filed under the name uncultured bacterium. RNAcentral describes it as "bacterial SSU rRNA". It matches the Rfam family "Bacterial small subunit ribosomal RNA", at positions 28 to 536 of the family's 1533-position model. The record is from RNAcentral.
GACGAACGCUGGCGGCGUGCCUAACACAUGCAAGUCGAGCGAGGUAUUUGCGACUGAUUCCUUCGGGAAGAAGCUGCAAAUCACCUAGCGGCGGACGGGUGAGUAACGCGUGAGGAACCUACCUCCUACAAAGGGAUAGCCUCGGGAAACUGGGAUUAAUACCUUAUGACACUUAAGAGUCGCAUGACUUUUAAGUAAAGCGUUUUAGCGGUAGGAGAUGGCCUCGCGUCCCAUUAGCUAGUUGGUGAGGUAACGGCUCACCAAGGCGACGAUGGGUAGCCGGCCUGAGAGGGUGGACGGCCACACUGGAACUGAGACACGGUCCAGACUCCUACGGGAGGCAGCAGUGGGGAAUAUUGCACAAUGGGCGGAAGCCUGAUGCAGCGACGCCGCGUGAGUGACGAAGGCCUUCGGGUCGUAAACUCUGUCCUAAGGGACGAUAAUGACGGUACCUUAGGAGGAAGCCCGGCUAACUACGUGCCAGCAGCCGCGGUAAGGAGUAGUACA